RNAcentral lists this ribosomal RNA (253 nucleotides) under uncultured bacterium. RNAcentral's name for it is "partial 16S ribosomal RNA". It matches the Rfam family "Bacterial small subunit ribosomal RNA", at positions 524 to 776 of the family's 1533-position model. The record is from RNAcentral.
UACGGAGGAUGCAAGCGUUAUCCGGAAUGAUUGGGCGUAAAGCGUCCGCAGGUGGCAAUGUAAGUCUGCUGUCAAAGCGUCUGGCUCAACCAGAUAAAGGCAGUGGAAACUACAUAGCUAGAGUAAGGUAGGGGUAGAGGGAAUUCCUGGUGUAGCGGUGAAAUGCGUAGAGAUCAGGAAGAACACCGGUGGCGAAAGCGCUCUGCUGGACCAACACUGACACUGAUGAGCGAAAGCCAGGGGAGCAAACGGG